UUUUUGCCUUUUAUACGAGUACGCAUCCACCUAAUUUAACCAAUAUGGGUAAGUAUCCCCAAACCUCAAAGACGACCUACAACGCGCACAAAUAGAACACCCUACUUCAGAGAGUGGGGGAAACAGAGCUCUAUUACGGGCAAAGGUAAUCUAUGAUGAAAAAGGGCAGACAGGGGCUGCCUCGGGGAGGAACCAACAGGGCAGAGGCAGGAGAGAUUUUGAGGGUGCAGGAGAAUGUCCGUGUGUGUUUCCAACGGCUGCCGUCGCAACGUGCCACAAACCAAUAGCUGAAAAUGACAUAAAUGCACCUCUCUCCCGGUUGUGGGGCCCAGAAACCUGGAAUCGGAGCCCCGCUGCCCCUGAAGGCUCCAUGAAGGAAUCUCUCCUUGCUCCUCCGGUUUGUGGGAACUGCAGCCGGAAGGCCUGGGCCCCGCUGACUGCAGCUGCCUCCGGCUCCUCUCAUGCCCCUUCCCCGGAGUGUGUCUGCGUCUGUUCUUCCUCCCAUAACGGCGCCAACCCUGGAGUUGGGCCCUCCAGUCCAGCGUGAGUGACCACUGCAGGUCCUGUUUGCAAACGAGGCCACAGGCACCAGUAUCAGGCCCCAAUCUCACCUGCCGAGGGGCGUAGUCCACCUGUUCUGUCUCCGGAGCUGGGACAGCCCGGGACAAGGAUUGGGGAAACGACCUCAAGGACACCUGAGGUUUGUGCGCUUCUCCAACAGAGGAACGACCACUGGAUCCAGCCAGUGCAGUGUGUGACGGCGAUUUGGGGUACUCGGUGUAAAAAAUUUAACAAGGCAUCUGCCAUCUUUCGUCAUGCCGAUUUUGAGAUUCCGGGUGUACUGACCACUCGGUGACCCCUCGGUGUCCACUUGGGGUUGGAGAACAAGUGACCUCAUCACGUGGACACUGCCCUCCCCAGAGAGGGUGACCACUGAGAGCCUGUGACGCACAAGGCCCUUCUGACCCCCUUUCCAGCCCAGCGUCACUUCCACCAGACUGCACCCUUGGAAUCAAUCACGAGUCCAGCCCCCACGCCAAGGGAAGUGAACCCACUGCACCGAAGGGGCCAAAGAAUGGGGACCACACCUUCAAAUCACCACGCACACCCCUUUCUUGGCGCAGUGAUCUCAGCACAGCCCCCCCAUGUGAUCUCGUCCUGUGGGCUCCGAAUCCACCCCUCCCGCUAUGCCUCUGAUGCCCCACCUGCCCCUCUUGGGCAUCCUUUCGGGGGCCGGGGUCCUUCCGCCGUGGCCCCUCGUUCUCGGAGCACACAGAGAUGUUCUAGGCUCAAUGUCUACCUCUCCUUCCGCCAGUGCCGGUUCCUCUCCAUGGGAAAUGGCACCUGCACCCCACAUCUGGGUGCUCUCCCGCUUUUCAGUGUUUACAAGCUCUCUCCUAGGCUGUGGCGUUUCCUAUGCUAAUGAGCUCGCCCCCCUGGGCCGUGGUUUCCCUCUUCUCAACUGCUCCCACAUCGCCUUGUUUCCCAUCAGGCUGCUGUCUCUUCUGCUGUUUGUCUGCAGGGCUUGCUUGUAUAUUCCAAGUACUUCUGUUUGAGACGCUGCAGCCCCUCCAAUUAUGACGUCUGUCUUCUUGUCCCUAGUGGAUCCUUGGGCCAGACUCCUUUAUUUUGAA
This is a long non-coding RNA of Condylura cristata (star-nosed mole), 1634 nucleotides long. RefSeq lists it as uncharacterized. The transcript has 3 exons. The record is from RefSeq and is a predicted model, not a curated record. Lineage: Eukaryota; Metazoa; Chordata; Mammalia; Eulipotyphla; Talpidae.